GACGAACGCUGGCGGCGUGCUUAACACAUGCAAGUCGAACGGAAAGGCCUGCUUUCCCUUGUGGAUUGCGGGUAGUCGAGUGGCGAACGGGUGAGUAACACGUGGGUGAUCUGCCCUCAACUUGGGUAUAAGCCUGGGAAACUGCGUCUAAUUCGCGAUAGGACUGCAGGGUGGUGCCUGUGUUGGAAAACGAUAUUCUACUGGUUGGGGUUGAGCUCGUGGCCGGUGAGGGUGUUGGUGGGGUAAUGGUCCACCAAGGCGGCGACGGGUAGCCAGACGGAGAGGAUGGACACGCGCAUUGGGACAGGGUUACGGCCCAGACGCCUGCGGGAAGCAGGAAUGAGGGAUCAAGGAGAAUAGGCGUGAGCCAGAUGCAGCGAGGGCGUGAGGAAGAUGACGGGCUUCGGAAUGUAAACUCCUUUGGACCACGAGGAAGACACCUAGUUGGAGGGGUGGUGACGGUAGUGGCAGAAGAAGCACCGGCUAACUACGUG
This 494-nucleotide ribosomal RNA is filed under the name uncultured bacterium. RNAcentral's name for it is "partial 16S ribosomal RNA". It matches the Rfam family "Bacterial small subunit ribosomal RNA", at positions 28 to 507 of the family's 1533-position model. The record is from RNAcentral.